AAUUGUAAUUUCACAAAACAAGAAUUCAACAGGUAGAGAGCAUCCAGGGUUGAUUAACAAAGCAGCCCAGUGAGCUCACUCAGGCCCCAGGUGAUUCUCUUCAUUUCUCUGCUCAGCCAGGCUCACUCAGCCUGUCAGCUGAUUGUUCUCUUUUUCAAAAGAUGGCAGCAUCAUUCUAAGCAUCUCAUACCGAGAGGACAGUGUGAGUUUUCCCAGAAACCUCUUAACUGACUUACUCCCCACUAGCCAAAAUUGCAGUGUAUGGCCAUACCUAAGACAAACACUGGUAAGCAGACUGGGAGAAGGAAUGCAGUGAUUGGUUUAGACCGAUUACCCAUGGGAGCACAGUGAUUGGCUUAGACCAAUUACCAGUGGAGCUGAGUGACUGGUUUUCCUUUGAGGCUGAAGCUUGGAAGUUCUUCACUUUAUCACAUAGGGCUGGGGAUAAAAUCCAGGUUGUGGCAACAAGGAAAAUCUAUUCACAAGGGUUGGGGUAAUGAAUGAUUUAGGUAAUUUAUCUUCUAUAUAAGCCAUCAAAGGGCCAGCUGUACUAGCAAGAAGGGCAAUAGAGGCCCAGAGAAAGUGUCGGAAAAGCAGAAGAAAGAGUCAGGGAAGGUAGGUCAGGGUCAGUUGGAAGGCCUUGGGUUUUACACAGAACGAAUAACCUGAAUGAGUCACUCCUAAACCACUGUUCCCUCACCCCAUUCUCCCUCCUGAGGAUGGAUUAUGCACCUGCUCGCACAUCUGACUGUUGUUUCAUAUCACCAGUUUGGGUCAGGGUGACACGACCCAGCUGCCUCCAGAAGCCUCCCAGCCAAUGGACCCAGAGCGGGCUGUGGGCAAAUCAGUCAGCUGGUGGCUGCUGAUUGGAAUUCAUCCACAUUCUCAAAGUGGAGGACAGCGAGAGAUGUGUGCAGCCUCCUCCCCUAUGGAGGGAGUGCUAUUUGUUUAAAUGGUGUUUGGUGAUGCCAAAAACACUUGGCCUCCUUUAUCUAGAUAUAGACUAAUCCAGCACAAAUAGAUCAGUAGUAGUAAUACAGCAACAAUAGUAGCUCAACUGUUUUAUUUUGUAGACGUAGGAAACCAAGUUCAUGUUGAAGUGACUCGGCCAGGGUCACAAAGGCCAAACUGGAGCUAAGACUGAGUCUUAAGUCUCCUUGUUUUGAUUCUCUUUCUCCUUAUACUUGUAGGAAGAGUUUCUAUGCUAAAUGUAUGCCAGAUCUAUAACAUCAUUUUUCUGCAACAUGAAACUGCUUUAGCUUUCCCCUCCAAGAUCCAUUAUAACUUUGGAAAUGUGGUGAAAUGUGUCUUAUUGAACUCCAUUAAAGACUAAAUCUGGGGCCGAAUGCGGUGGCUCAAACCUGUAAUCCCAGCACUUUGGGAGGCCGAGAUGUGGCAAAUUCAUCCCAUCUCUGCUGCAGCUAUGAGUCUCAGAGAAAGUAAGUCUUGGGUAAACACAUCUAUUGCCUUUCAACCCUACCCUACUUUGAGCUGUCAGGUCUCUUCCCCUUUCCCCACUCUCUUUUAUGGAUCCAAAAAUUAUUCUAGAAAGUACAACUUGAAGACCACUGCCAUGAUACAAUGUUGGGAACCUUGUUCACAUGCUAAGGGUCAAUAUCACUUCAACCUUAGCUGAAGAUCACUAGAGCUCGGUGUCACUUCAACUUCAGCUGAAGAUCACUAGAGCUCGGUAUCACUUCUACUUCAGCUGAAGAUCGCUAGAGCUCGGUGUCACUUCAACUUCAGCUGAAGAUCGCUAGAGCUCGGUGUCACUUCAACUUCAGCUGAAGAUCGCUAGAGCUCGGUGUCACUUCAACUUCAGCUGAAGAUCGCUAGAGCUCAAUGUCACUUCUACUUCAGCUGAAGAUCGCAGGUCAAUAUCACUUCUGCUUCAGCUGAAGAGCACUAAAGCUCAGUAUCACUUCAACUUCAGCUGAAAGUCACCAAAGCUCAAUAUCACUUCUUCAGCUUAGGAUCACUUCUCUCGUUGCCUCUUUAAUGUCUGCUUCGUGACAUUUGUCACAAGUUAGUUGUGUGGUGAGCUGUCUUCCUCACAAGAACCUUACCUCCAAUGAGGGCAGGGAAUGAGGUGAAUCUGUUUAGAUUUGACACUGUGUCUCCAGUGCAUAGGCCAGUGCCUCAGACAUUGUAGGCUCUGGGAAAAAAUGCUUGGGACUAGAAUAACCAGAGGACUGGGGGAAAUCCCAUCCUAGUCUCACUUAGGGGAAGUCAGAAUAACAUAAUGUAGUUCACAUUGUAUAGUUCU
Callithrix jacchus (white-tufted-ear marmoset) is the source of this 2266-nucleotide long non-coding RNA. RefSeq lists it as uncharacterized. NCBI's taxonomy places the organism in Eukaryota, Metazoa, Chordata, Mammalia, Primates, Cebidae. The record is from RefSeq and is a predicted model, not a curated record.